GAGCCGUUACCCCCGGCUUAUUCCGACGCCAGCUGUCUCGGCCCCACGGGGAUCAUUAUAUAUCCCUCCCGAACUCACACUCUCUUCUUCAGAACAUUCUCGCACAAGAAUCGGAGCGCUCCAUCAACGGUCUCCUCUCUUCUGAACGCUCGUUGCCGAAAUCAAACGCUAGAUAAUUACCAAGCAAUUGGAGGAAGAGAGAGCAGAAUCGAAAGGAGUUUGUCGCCUGAUCCCGGUGAUGAAAAAUACAGAUGAGAGGAGGACGCCGAACUGUUAUGUAAUUGCGAUUGGUUCCGAGAGGGGUAGAACAAAGCAGCUGCUCUUGAUGAAGUGAUUACUUGGGCAAAAGAAAAGCAGUUGAUCCUGUCGGGAUUUUCGAAUCUGCUAGGAAUACUGGUCAUGAUGAUGAACGAUAUGAGAGACAUACUAGUGCCUGGAUCAAUUUUUGAGACUGAUUUGAGUCAAGGGCAGAAUGAUGGCAAUCAAUUUGUUGAAAUCGAAGGAUGGUCCGAUUCAUAUAAAGUUUGUUGUAAACAAUUAGGGAUGCAUGAAAUAUAACCACACAUCUCAUUAAGAUGGAAAUGGAGGACAUAGAUGGAGAUGAUAAAGUGGAGGUCAAGGAAUCUAACUCCGGUUGCUACUUUCAACACUCCACGUAAGAAAUUUUCUACUUGACAUCAUAAACUACCUUAUCUAUAGCCUAGAUCUCAUGAGAAUUACGUUAUUGUCCUAUAUUUAAUCUUUAUUAUAUCUUUGCCUUUUCUUUUU
This is a long non-coding RNA of Cucurbita maxima (winter squash), 768 nucleotides long. RefSeq lists it as uncharacterized. NCBI's taxonomy places the organism in Eukaryota, Viridiplantae, Streptophyta, Magnoliopsida, Cucurbitales, Cucurbitaceae. The record is from RefSeq and is a predicted model, not a curated record. The transcript has 5 exons.